AAGAAAAAAAUUGUUAGUGGAAGAUUAUAAUAGGGGGUUUCGCAUGCCAGCAAGAGUUACUGGUGUGCCAUGUUUGGCACACAUGCCUGGGGUUGCCCACCCCUGCUAUAGGUCUAGGAUGUGAUUACCUGCAUGACCUGCCCAGCUAGGAAUUUAUGAUCGAAUCACCUUUGCGGUUACUUUCAGGCUCAUCAAGCAGCGCCCAGAGCUUGUCAGGUCUGCUAUGUAGCCCCUUAUUCACUCAUUCAUUCAUUCAUUCAUUCAAUUAUGACUGAAUUGUAGGGGUCUCUCCUUCCCUUCCACACCUGGCCUCCCACCCUUCCUUGAAUUACAAACCAGGCUCUUCCCUGGCAGGUACAGGAAAAGCUGGCCUCUCCCACUUACCUGCUCAUGGGCCACUCCCAUUGGGGUUCUGCAUGGAGCCCUACAGAAGGCAAGGCUGGGCCUGCUCCUGCAGUCAGCACCAAGUGGUGGGAGAGGCCCAGCAGCCCCUGAGAUGCAGCCCUGGAUGGGGGAGAGGUGCAGCUGGAAUGCCACUCCCACCCCAACCUGAGGCCCUGGGAGGCAUCUCAUCACUGGACUCCUUUGUGCCUCCUCUGCUCACACACCUCAGCCCUUCACUAUGUCCCUGGAUCACACGCUGGUGCAAGCUUCACAGGGAGGAGGACAAAUCACAGGAGGAUGGGAAGAGCAGAUGUUUGGUAUCCAGCUGUCUGCCCUGUCAUGCAGAGAGAGGAGGGGAGACGGAGAGCAAAAGAGAAACAUAACGUGAGAGAGAAACAUUGAUCAGUUGUCUCCAGUUCAGGGCCCAGGGGUAAUGGAACCCGAAGUGAACCCACCACCCUUUGGUGCACAGGAGAAAGCUGCAAAGGACUGACCACCCCGGCCAGGGCCUUCCCUGAAUGCCAUGAGGGAGAGGUGGGAGUCCUCCCCACCCCAUGGCUGGGUCUUGAUCGCCCUCCGCUCAACAUAAUCAACAAGCGAAAGUGGCACCUUUUGGAGGCUCGCAGAGACGGAUACCUCCCCCGCGUGUCUUCGGGGCAAUUAAGACCAACACCAAUCAGGGCACACGCACUGAAGCGCACGCCAGCGGUCCCCAGGCGGCGCCCUCCGGGGGACCAGGUUGUGCAAGACGCCGGUC
This is a long non-coding RNA of Myotis myotis, 1141 nucleotides long. RefSeq lists it as uncharacterized. The transcript has 3 exons. The record is from RefSeq and is a predicted model, not a curated record. NCBI's taxonomy places the organism in Eukaryota, Metazoa, Chordata, Mammalia, Chiroptera, Vespertilionidae.